CCUACGGGAGGCAGCAGUGGGGAAUAUUGCACAAUGGGGGAAACCCUGAUGCAGCGACGCCGCGUGAGUGAUGAAGUAUUUCGGUAUGUAAAGCUCUAUCAGCAGGGAAGCUAAUGACGGUACCUGACUAAGAAGCUCCGGCUAAAUACGUGCAAGCAGCCGCGGUAAUACGUAUGGAGCAAGCGUGAUCCGGAUUUAAUGGGUGUAAAGGGAGCGCAGACGGCAGGGCAAGUCUGAUGUGAAAGUCCGGGGCGCAACCCCGGGACUGCAUUGGAAACUGUCCGGCUAGAGUGCAGGAGAGGUAAGUGGAAUUCCUAGUGUAGCGGUGAAAUGCAUAGAUAUUAGGAGGAACACCAGUGGCGAAGGCGGCAUACUGGACUGUAACUGACGUUGAGGCUCGAAAGCGUGGGGAGCAAACAGGAUUAGAUACCCUAGUAGUC
This 440-nucleotide ribosomal RNA is filed under the name uncultured bacterium. Its description in RNAcentral is "partial 16S ribosomal RNA". It matches the Rfam family "Bacterial small subunit ribosomal RNA", at positions 338 to 795 of the family's 1533-position model. The record is from RNAcentral.